CAGCAGCCACGGUAAUACGUAGGGUGCAAGCGUUAAUCGGAAUUACUGGGCGUAAAGCGUGCGCAGGCGGUUCGCUAAGACAGAUGUGAAAUCCCCGGGCUUAACCUGGAACUGCAUUUGUGACUGGCGGGCUAGAGUAUGGCAGAGGGGGGUAGAAUUCCACGUGUAGCAGUGAAAUGCGUAGAGAUGUGGAGGAAUACCGAUGGCGAAGGCAGCCCCCUGGGCCAAUACUGACGCUCAUGCACGAAAGCGUGGGGAGCAAACAGGAUUAGAGACCCCAGUAGUCCCUGUCUCUUAUACA
Molecule: ribosomal RNA, 301 nt
Filed under: uncultured bacterium
Lineage: Bacteria
Description: partial 16S ribosomal RNA
Rfam family: Bacterial small subunit ribosomal RNA
Source: RNAcentral